Long non-coding RNA from Ipomoea triloba (trilobed morning glory), 1099 nucleotides. RefSeq lists it as uncharacterized. The transcript is spliced from 2 exons. Lineage: Eukaryota; Viridiplantae; Streptophyta; Magnoliopsida; Solanales; Convolvulaceae. The record is from RefSeq and is a predicted model, not a curated record.
UUCUGCCUCUUUCGUUUCUUGGAGGUUUCGUUUGUGCACAUAUAUUCUAUUUGCUUUCCAAGAAAAUUGCUCCGUAAUAUACUUCUAUGCUUCCACUGCCUCCACUGCAUCCUCUGUCGUCGCCGUUUCUCCUCCGGACAGCAGACAACGCCAUUGCCUCCACGGCCGGCGACAGCUUGAGCUCCGUCGACAAUGAUUCAAUGAAAUGUCCUAGUCAACCACAGCGUGGGUUCUUUUCUCCGGAUAUGAUUUUUACAUCAGCACUGAUGAUAUGGAAAGCAUUAAUGUGUAUAAUUCGCAGUGAAUCUCCAUUGCUACUUGUGCUUUCUGGAAGCAUGAAACUUGGGUUCUAAAGGGUGAGAAUUUAUCAAGUUGUUAGUCUCAAUUGGUUUUUUCUCUCUGAAAUAUUUAUGUGGACUGGGUUCAUUUCCAUUAGAGUUUAUUGUCUCCAACGAUUACCAGCCAACUGAAUCCUUUGCUCUCCAGAGUAUAGCCAGACAACCGUCGCAAUUGGUGAAGACAUUGUGCUCUUUUCAAAAUGAGCACCACGUGUUUGGUAGAAGUCCUAGACCAACUCCUAAGUCUAUACACCAUUCCAUGCUGAAUUUUAUUCACCAGAGUCAAUUUGAAGCUUUUAAAGUUUUCAAGAAACAGUUUCAAAUGGGUGUCUCAGAGAACCAGAGAUUGAUGAGUGUGAGCAUAAAUAUAAUAUGUGCAGUCCACAUGCUUUAAUUUGGUAUCAAAACCAUGCAAAAGAUCAUGAGUUCGAAUCUCCGCGUCACCCACAAAAAGAGACUUCCACGUGUUGCUUGGUUGGAAUCCACCGCCACACACGUUGAGGGGGCGUGUGAGCAUAAAUAUAAUAUGUGCAGUCCAACUAAGCUUUUAGUUGAGAUGGAGCACGUGCUUUAAUUAUGAGGUUGCCGUUAGCUCCCAAAGCAUGCAAAGGUGACUUGACAUUUGGGUCUCAAUUACAUAGUCUUACUAUAAGAAGUGCAUUCUUUUCUUAUAUUACCGUCCCGAAUUCAUUGAUGAAUAUGUAUUGCAAAUCUGGACAGUUGAUUUGUGGAUAUCAGUGUACAUUGGUUUUUUUUUUUUU